UUCCGCCAAUUCUCCUCCCAUUGUUCGCCGGUUACAGAAGCAAAUAUCAGAUCCAAAACCAUUACUAGCAGCAUUUGAUUCAUACCUGAUAAUCAAUUUCUUACGAAACGGGAACCCCUUGAAAGUAUUAGACUACAUAAAUCUUGAGAUAGGUUGUCAUCUACCUAGGUUUCUCCGUUUCUUUCUUCAGCAAACUCUCUCUCAAGAAACUAGAAAAAGAAUAAAAAUGAGUCGAGAAGCAAAAAUUAUUUUAAAUGGCAAUUCCGUUUCAUUAAAGUUGAAUGCCCAAAGAAAACUAAAUUCUACGCGGUGAAGUUCAGAGUGGGUUAAAAUAUAUUUCUCUUUAAGUGUCUGUCUCUGAUAGAGGUUGACUCGGCUAGCCAAACUACUUCGACAACUAUAGUAGCUGAUUCCAAUCUUCAUGGAAUAUGAGUUUUAAGUGUGCUGUUUGAUAUAGCUUUCUCUACCGAGCUUAAUGGAUAUAGGAAUGCAUGACCUGUAAUAGGUGCAUUUCGGAUGUCAAAACUACAAAGUGAGAUCAAACUUGGCACAUUUGAUGUUUUUUGUCAUUCCAUACUUUCCAAAGCCUUGGCUUCGUUACCUAACACCAUUAAUAUGGCGGGUAAACUUUACUAACACCAAACCGUCUCCAUCUCAACCAUAAGCCUUGUUCGCACACCAGCUACCAGAAAAAACCUCUCUGAACUUUUGCAGCAAAAUUGGGUUUGGUAAUCUACCUGCUAGAUUAUCAGUUCACAGCGAAGAUGAAAGUGAUGGUCAGUCAUUUCUUUUAUAUCUAUUUCAUGCACCAAAGACUUGCAAUAAUCUAUACAGCGAUUAAAAGCGAUCAGUGCAAUAACCAAGAUGGUAGAAGCAAUGCUUAGGUCUAAUGAUAAAAUGAAGGUCCAAAAAUUGAACAUGCAGUGGUACCCAAAUGCUAUUUUCAUGUGCAACUUGGAGAACCAAUUAGUGUAAAGUGGAUAAUUUCAUUAACUAAUUCUGGAUACAUCCCCCACAACUUUUUGAGAAAACUUAUUGAUUUGAAUGAAUUACAAGGCAUAUUAGAGUCAAGUAUUUGCUACAUAUAUAGAGGUCUGCCGAAUAAUCUCUUAAUAGAAGACAUGGUAAGCAUCAAGGAUUUGGGGAAUGUGACGUCUCUGUACAUGUGGGAACACCAUAGCUCCAGACUUAGAGCCGCAAUGAAGGACUCAAGAAUCUUUCAUUUCCUUUUGCUGCUCGGCUGCUCCCCAUUUUAUUUUAAUAUCGUUGUGCCAUAUCAAAUGUUAGAAAAAUAUGUCAAGGACUUGAAAUUUGAAUCAGUUCAAAGCAGCAAAUCCAGGUUAGAGAGGCGCGUUGAGUGUGCGCGAUAAUCAGAAACUCUAGAUGCAGAGAUCAGGAGGUGGUCGAAUCGAAUGAACGCAAAGGUAAGAGAAGUACUGUAGGGUAAGAGCAGUACUGUAGGAUUUAUGAAGAAUAUUAAGGACUGUAGAAAAAAUUCUUGGAUACUUGCAAUUAAUAAUUUUUAUUUCUUUUCGACCCUGUAAUCCAUUGUUCAAGAAAAUAAGGAAGCCUCAAACUUUAAAAGGUGUAGAGCGUGGGCGAACUAUCAAAUUGCCCAUACUUUAUCCGCUGAAAUUGUGUUGCGCAUGAGAGUAGUUUGGUGUACAUGUUUCGAAAUUAUAACAAAUUAUUUUCAAAAUGAAUUCAGCUUUGGUUUACUUGAUUAUAGAAUUUUCGUUAAAGGACUAUUGUGUCUCCUGAAUAAGAUGUUGAUUCACUCAUAUGUGCAUUUACAGUAGUUCGCAAUACUAGCUCCAUCUUCAAGGAAUGUGCUGACUAUGUAAUUUGCUGCUCUGUUUUGAUGCGUGCAUGGUACAUAAGUGAAAAUUUUGUAUUUCUAACUGAAUGUGAUCGGUGUUCAUAUGUGUAAUCAAAUAUGUUUUUACGAAAAUUUUACUUUUGAUUGAAGUGGGUAUAUCUGCCAAAAGCAUAUGUCAUUGUAAAUACGGACUACCAAUUGGAUAAGAAAUACAGACAACUACUUGCCUCUCCGCCGCCCAAUACGUAAUCCAACUUAGGAUAAUUGGCUCAUGCACAAGGAUUUUGAGUUACUAGGAAUUUGGGACUCCCUGGCUUGAUUUUUUAAACAAUUGCAAUUUAAUUUUCUUUUAAGCAGUCAAAAAAGGUACGACGGUUAGAAACAAUCCAUCUUUCCUUGCCCAAACAUGGAUUGAAAUUCACAUUUCCCCACGAUGGAUUGACACAUAAAUGAAAUUUGACAAUGAAAAAAUUCGUUUGAUGCA
This is a long non-coding RNA of Papaver somniferum (opium poppy), 2303 nucleotides long. RefSeq lists it as uncharacterized. The record is from RefSeq and is a predicted model, not a curated record. NCBI's taxonomy places the organism in Eukaryota, Viridiplantae, Streptophyta, Magnoliopsida, Ranunculales, Papaveraceae. The transcript has 9 exons.